RNAcentral lists this long non-coding RNA (1467 nucleotides) under Zea mays. RNAcentral's name for it is "long non-coding RNA (ZMAY_LNC001145)". The record is from RNAcentral. Lineage: Eukaryota; Viridiplantae; Streptophyta; Magnoliopsida; Poales; Poaceae.
CUUCGCAAUCUGCUUCGGUGGAGCACGCAUGGCCUGAACAGCAGAACAGGGGAAAGUGAGGUGGUUACCUUUUUUUCUCCUCUGGCGCCACUUUACAUCAACGCUAUGGUAUUUGCAUCGGUAUCGGCGUCGCCCUUGUGCCUUUUGCAGCUUAUUAUUCUUCCUAGGGAGGUUAGCUGAGAGAUAGCUAAUAAGUGACAACAAGAGGCUGGAAGCGUGGCUUCGGAUCUGGUCGACUUGUACUUAUGCUGGUGUGCUGCGUAGUAUAGGUACAGCAUCAUCCAGCACGUCAGGUCAGUGUCAGACUACGGGCCCGGAGUGUAUGAUUCGAUUAGAGAAGUCGCUGGCGGCUUCAGUUUAAGGUAACAUUUUUUUCAGAGAGAGAGAUCAGGUUCCCAAUGGUUUGUAGUGUUCUGUUCCAGUAAUCAAAUUCUCUGGAGUAAUCUCACCAUCGUUAUCUACGAUUUGCAGUAAGAGAAGCUUCUAAUUCAGCUUUGGGAGUCGGUAGAGGAUGCCUGGCAACUGACUUUCGAUGCUUGCCGAUGAGGUUUUUCCCAUUAGAAUAUCAGCUGGGAGUUUAUCGCAUCUCCCUGGCCGGCAAGCUAGGCAGCCGUGUUUUGUUUCCACAGCUUCAAAGCGGGUUGCUUUCGAGCUGCCCCACGAAACAUCCAAUGUAUAUGUCCAUAUGGCAUGACAGCCUUGGAUCCUGGCGCGCCGGUGAAUGGCGAUUGGACCUUCGGCAUCGGCACGACGCCUGUCGCAGCAAGCAUUCAUUCAUGCUGUCAAAGCUGUCAGCGUUCACGCAGAGACAUCUGCUUCAAGUUUAUCAACAUGGGAUUCAAGAGCAUAUACCGGUAUCAUUCUUCGAGCUGGCAGCUGGCUGACGUGAAGACUGAGGCCGAAACUUCUGUCCCGUCCCGGUGCGCACCUGACCUGCAGAAGAGGCUGUGCUGUACGUGAGAUAGGUAGAGGGGUCGACGAUGACUCGAUGAGACAGACGGCUAGAAAUCUGGAACGCAAGGCACGACGGAGUACUGGCUUCAGAGGAUCCAUCCUUCCCCCAGUUGCUUUCGCCCGUCGCCAUGCAGCUCCAAUUUCCUUCUUGUAAGUUUCUUCUGAGCAGAUUGCUACUGGCAGCUUGGUCAGUCGUCCGCGACAGUGACACACCGUGCCUUUUCGAAUUUCUUGUGAUUUUGCACAGAGGGUGAGACUUUGACAAACCUGGGCACUGGACACGGCUUUCAAACCAAGAUCUUUUUUUUUUUGCCUGUCUCACUCGUCUCAGUGACGUUCAUUCACCUAAAAGCAGUCAACGAGGCAAGCAUACAGCAUUACUUAUGUAUGGAAGUUGGAAGGCCAUUCUGAUGAUUCCAUUAUUACCUCAGGUACUUGUUGAAACUUUUUUGUAACUUUCAGAUCAGACAGUGUAUUCUGAACAGUUACAAAGUUCUAAUUUUCCCGAAUUCA